AGAGCUUCUUUUAAUGUCCUGUGUUGGUUGUUGGGGGGAAGGGGAACACACCUUGGGAGUGUUGAGGCAAGAGGCCUGCGGGCAUACCUAACCCGUAGUAUUUAAUCUGUCUAUGCACACUAGUGUGCAGGUGGUGGGGGUCAGGGAGGUGUGUGGGGUUUGCCUCCUCAGUGGAGGAGCCCUGAGCCUCUGUUUCCAGUGUCUACACCUGCUGUCACUUCCCAAAGUUGGUCAGACUUCAAAAACUCAGGAGCAGAGCUACUCUGAGACCAUCCUACACAAGUAUGAACUAGACUUCAUCGUGGGAGACCAGGGCUCCAAAGAUGGGGUCCUCCAGAGGGCUUUCCACAACACUUCCAGGCCUCUCUCAGAUACUCGGGGCAACUUUCAAUGGAACACGCACACACGAGUUUAGCAGAACUCCAAGAUGGAUAGACUUUUGCCAAGCAGGAGAAAGAUGUUUUCCCCCUCCGCCAGUAUUUGGUUGCUACGGUGACCUGCUCCUCAAGGCCCCAAAAUAAGGGGUGAGGAAUGCGGUGCUGUGGAAGUUAACGAUCGACGGCUCAUGAAAGAAACCCUCUAUAUUUGGAGACUCUGAGCGG
Molecule: long non-coding RNA, 602 nt
Organism: Oncorhynchus tshawytscha (Chinook salmon)
Lineage: Eukaryota; Metazoa; Chordata; Actinopteri; Salmoniformes; Salmonidae
Source: Ensembl